Molecule: long non-coding RNA, 1053 nt
Filed under: Cairina moschata (Muscovy duck)
Lineage: Eukaryota; Metazoa; Chordata; Aves; Anseriformes; Anatidae
Description: domestica (muscovy Duck (domestic type)) lncRNA (ENSCMMG00000010862.1)
Source: RNAcentral
GGGUGCAGCGCACAGCGGGGUUGGGGUGAGCCGGGGGGUGUGAGCGGGGCACGUCCCCAGCACCCUGAAGCUCCCCCCCCCAUAAACACCCCGAGACCCCAACCCAGCAAUCUGGUGGUUUGGGGGGGCCCCGUGGCUCUAUGGGGUAAAGCACCAGCAGCCCCCGUGCCGGGAAGGGGUCCCGGUGAUCCUCACAGGCACCAAGGGGGAUGCGCACGGGGGAGCAGCUUCGUGUCCCCCCCCCCGGCACGCAGCCACAGCCGUGAGCUGGGCCCCCCCCGUGCCACGAUGGCCUUUGGGUGGCCUUGUCCCCCCCCUGUGCCCCCCUCCCAGGGUGACUCCUCUCACCCCGGCACGCAGGGAGUUAAGGGCUGGGGAUGUCCCUGGGGGGGCCACAGCUGCCGGCAGCCCCCGUGCUGGCCGCACGCCAGCCCCCCCCCUCCUAGAGCCCCCCCCAGCCGAGGCCCAGCUGCAGGCACUGGGCAGGGAGCCCUGUGCUGGGUUGGGGGGGGGGGGGGGGGCUGGGGUGCAGCCCCCCCAGGGUGCAAAAAGGAUCCCAGGACCCCCGUCCUCCAUGGGGAGGGGGGGGGGAAGCAGAUGGGACCCCCCCACACCCCCUCCAGGACCGGGAGCCCCCAGGAGGGGGGGUCCUGGGGGUUGGGUCCCUGCUCAGCACCCAGCGCUGGGACCUGCUGGAGAGGUCCGGGGUAUUGGGGAGAGGUGCUGGGUGCCCCCCCCCCGGUGGCUGUGCCCCCCCCGGGUCCCACGGCACCCCCUGGGUGUGGGCAGAGCCCGGAGCCGAAGCGGUUACGGCACGGGAGGAGGAGGGCGGCCGGGUGUGGGCGUCCCUGGGGGUGUCCCUGGGGGUGUCCCUUGGGUGCCCCUGGGGGUGUCAGGCGCAGGAUGGGGGGGGCCGAGCUGCCCGGCGGCUACGUGGUGGACGAGGGCAGCGGGAGGCUCUUCAGGAGGGGGGGGCUGCUGGGGGAGGUAAAUGCCCACCCCCCCCCCCGGCUCCAUCCCAACCCAACCGCGGGGACGGGGAAACNNNNNNNN